Molecule: ribosomal RNA, 839 nt
Filed under: Stenostomum sp. Kopanang A
Lineage: Eukaryota; Metazoa; Platyhelminthes; Stenostomidae
Description: bacterial SSU rRNA
Rfam family: Eukaryotic small subunit ribosomal RNA
Source: RNAcentral
AAGGCCAUGCAUGUCUAAGUACAGGCUUUGUGUACAGCGAAACCGCGAAUGGCUCAUUAAAUCAGCUAUAAUUUAUUAGAUUGUUCUCUACAUGGAUAACUGUGGGAAUUCUAGAGCUAAUACAUGCACAAAAGCUCCGACCUUCGGGAAGGAGUGCAGUUAUUAGACCAAAACCAGCCGAGCUACGGCUCGAACUGUUUGGUGACUCUGGAUAACUACGAGCGGAUCGCAUGGCCUUGUGUCGGCGACAUAUCUUUCAAGUGUCUGACCUAUCAACUGACGAUGGUACGCGAUAUGCCUACCAUGGUGAUAACGGGUAACGGAGAAUAAGGGUUCGACUCCGGAGAGGGAGCCUGAGAAAUGGCUACCACAUCCAAGGAUGGCAGCAGGCGCGCAAAUUACCCACUCUCAGUACGAGGAGGUAGUGACGAAAAAUAACAAUGCGUGACUCUUUUUGAGGCCUCGCAAUUGGAAUGAGCGCACUUUAAAUCGUUCGACAAGGAUCUAUUGGAGGGCAAGUCUGGUGCCAGCAGCCGCGGUAAUUCCAGCUCCAAUAGCGUAUAUUAAAGUUGUUGCAGUUAAAAAGCUCGUAGUUGGAUCUGGGGCUCGGGUCGGCGGUUUGCCGCUAUGCGGCUACGGCGCUGCUCGACUCUUAUAAUCCGGGGCGCCUGCGGUGUGUGCUCUCCUCAGAGUGCGCGCAGAGCCUGGGGUGUUUACUUUGAAAAAAUUAGAGUGCUCAAAACGCGCGCGCGCGUCUGAAAAGUGUUGCGCGGAAAAGGGAAAUAGGACCUCUCUUCUAUUUUGUGGUUUUUCAGAACUUGAGAUAAAGAUAAAAAGAG